UGCCGACCUCUCCUUCUCUUCAUAUCCCCUUUCACCUCCUCUCUCUCCACCCCCAAAAUUCACCUGUCCUCUUCCUCUUCCCUCUUUCUCUAGCUAAAGAAUCUUCAAUUUCGUUUCUGAAAUCUUGGACGAGAGGUGAUUUGAAUCAGAAGAAUCGAUCCAGAAAUGGCUCAAAAGACGGAGAAGGAAGAGACUGAAUUCAAGGUGCCAGAAACUCUUGCCUUGUGUGUUAAUAAUUGUGGAUUUACUGGUAAUCCUGCCACUAAUAAUAUGUGUCAGAAU
RNAcentral lists this unclassified non-coding RNA (282 nucleotides) under Hevea brasiliensis (rubber tree). The record is from RNAcentral. Lineage: Eukaryota; Viridiplantae; Streptophyta; Magnoliopsida; Malpighiales; Euphorbiaceae.